GGUUGCAAGUUUGAGGCCAUAGCUGAAGCACUUGGGGCACGGCCCUGUCAGAUUCCAGCGAAUUUGCAAAUUCUGCU
Molecule: ribozyme, 77 nt
Filed under: Crocodylus porosus (Australian saltwater crocodile)
Lineage: Eukaryota; Metazoa; Chordata; Crocodylia; Crocodylidae
Description: Mammalian CPEB3 ribozyme (ENSCPRG00005008111.1)
Rfam family: Mammalian CPEB3 ribozyme
About the family: The mammalian CPEB3 ribozyme is a self cleaving RNA located in the second intron of the CPEB3 gene which belongs to a family of genes regulating messenger RNA polyadenylation. This ribozyme is highly conserved and found only in mammals. There is currently only one other known self cleaving ribozyme in mammals, the CoTC motif.
Source: Rfam by way of RNAcentral